UCUAGGAAAAAAAACGAACUUUAAAGGC
This 28-nucleotide non-coding RNA is filed under the name Cricetulus griseus (Chinese hamster). The record is from RNAcentral. Lineage: Eukaryota; Metazoa; Chordata; Mammalia; Rodentia; Cricetidae.